GAAAUUGUGAAUAUGAAGGGGUCAUUGACGACUUUAAUUCAUUCACAUGAUCAAAUAAAGAAAGUAUAUUCUAGCAUCAAGCUGCUUUAUUUAGAACAAGGCAGCAGAUAGAAACAACAAUAAUGCUUCAUAGGAGCCUGCAAUAAGCUUAUAAUUUCUUAAUGGGCUCCUUUUACUCCAAGUUGCCAAGCUCCAAGUUCC
This is a long non-coding RNA of Arachis duranensis, 201 nucleotides long. RefSeq lists it as uncharacterized. The transcript has 3 exons. NCBI's taxonomy places the organism in Eukaryota, Viridiplantae, Streptophyta, Magnoliopsida, Fabales, Fabaceae. The record is from RefSeq and is a predicted model, not a curated record.